CCUACGGGAGGCAGCAGUGGGGAAUAUUGCGCAAUGGGCGAAAGCCUGACGCAGCGACGCCGCGUGAGGGAUGAAGGUCUUCGGAUCGUAAACCUCUGUCAGCAGGGAAGUACGGUCACUGUGCUAAUCAGCGGUGAAUUGACGGUACCUGCAAAGAAAGCACCGGCUAACUCCGUCCCAGCAGCCGCGGUAAUACGGAGGGUGCGAGCGUGAAUCGGAAUUACUGGGCGUAAAGCGCUCGUAGGCGGUAUGUCAAGUCUAGGGUGAAAUCCCCGCGCUCAACGUGGGAACUGCCUUUGAAACUGGCAAACUGGAGAGUGGGAGAGGAUAGUGGAAUGCAAGGUGUAGGAGUGAAAUGCGUAGAGAUCAGGAGGAACAUCAGUGGCGAAGGCGACUAUCUGGCACAUAACUGACGCUGAGGAGCGAAAGCGUGGGUAGCAAACAGGAUUAGAUACCCUUGUAGUC
This 465-nucleotide ribosomal RNA is filed under the name uncultured bacterium. RNAcentral's name for it is "partial 16S ribosomal RNA". It matches the Rfam family "Bacterial small subunit ribosomal RNA", at positions 338 to 795 of the family's 1533-position model. The record is from RNAcentral.